ACUGGAAUAUGGAAGUUGUCAUGGAUCAUCCAGUUCUGGGGUCCAUGACUUUCUGUAAAGGGUCAGAUAGUAAAUAUACUUGGUUUUGCAGGUCAUAUGGUUCCUGGGUCAACCACUGGACUUGGAAGUUGUAGCAUGAAAGCUUUCGUAGACAGUACACAAAUGAGUAGGCACAGCAGUGUUCCAGCAAUGAUGUGAAAGCUGACUAAAAACAACUGUUAAUGUAUGUGGAAGUACAUCUUUAUUGAGGGUGAAAGUUUGGUGGAGAACUGUUGAACUAUAGAACAAUCUCAGUGUUUCCAAGGUGGAAGCCAAGUGAUGGCCAGGGUCACAGUGAGCAAAUGGCAGAUGGGAUCUUGCAUCCUAGUCCCUCAGAACCUACAGCCUGGAGGUGGAGUUAAUGGUCACCACUUCCUUUGAAUGCAUAGGAACAAGCAGUCUGCAUGUUGUCUCAUUCAAUCUUUAAAACCACCCUAGUAAGGUUAACACUUCCUGACCAGAAGCUUGAUGUGGAACAAUUCAAGUAUCAUGAGGUCAUUGUCUUCGGAGAUCUUUCUCAGAGUACCCAUAGAUCUAAAAAGGGGAGACAGCACAUCUGGCUGAGUUACUGAAUUGAAAAUAAAGAUAUUUAAUGUUAACACCCAAAGAACCAGAAUCUUAUGGUAAGGAAAUAUUUGCUAAUAAAGAUCAUGUUAAUUUGCUUUGUAACAAAACCCCAGAGACUAGCACCUGCAAGAGCAUGUGGAACACGGGUCUCCCGUGCCAUAGGAGACAGGCAAAGAUGUGGAGAAUUUGCUAGUUGAGGAAGUUUGGGGUCACAGGGAGGCAAUUAGCAAUAUCCCCACAAAUAAUAAAAG
Long non-coding RNA from Gorilla gorilla gorilla (western lowland gorilla), 857 nucleotides. RefSeq lists it as uncharacterized. Lineage: Eukaryota; Metazoa; Chordata; Mammalia; Primates; Hominidae. The record is from RefSeq and is a predicted model, not a curated record. The transcript is spliced from 4 exons.